Molecule: ribosomal RNA, 470 nt
Filed under: uncultured bacterium
Lineage: Bacteria
Description: partial 16S ribosomal RNA
Rfam family: Bacterial small subunit ribosomal RNA
Source: RNAcentral
GAUGAACGCUGGCGGCGUGCCUAAUACAUGCAAGUCGAGCGAACGGACGAGAAGCUUGCUUCUCUGAUGUUAGCGGCGAACGGGUGAGUAACACGUGAGUAACCUGCCCUUGACUUUGGGAUAACUUCAGGAAACUGGGGCUAAUACCGGAUAGGAGCUCCUGCUGCAUGGUGGGGGUUGGAAAGUUUCGGCGGUUGGGGAUGGACUCGCGGCUUAUCAGCUUGUUGGUGGGGUAGUGGCUUACCAAGGCUUUGACGGGUAGCCGGCCUGAGAGGGUGACCGGCCACAUUGGGACUGAGAUACGGCCCAGACUCCUACGGGAGGCAGCAGUGGGGAAUAUUGCACAAUGGGCGGAAGCCUGAUGCAGCAACGCCGCGUGCGGGAUGACGGCCUUCGGGUUGUAAACCGCUUUCGCCUGUGACGAAGCGUGAGUGACGGUAAUGGGUAAAGAAGCACCGGCUAACUACGUG